This 182-nucleotide ribosomal RNA is filed under the name Peribacillus faecalis. RNAcentral describes it as "Bacterial small subunit ribosomal RNA". It matches the Rfam family "Bacterial small subunit ribosomal RNA", at positions 1 to 177 of the family's 1533-position model. Lineage: Bacteria; Bacillati; Bacillota; Bacilli; Caryophanales; Bacillaceae. The record is from Rfam by way of RNAcentral.
UUUUUGGAGAGUUUGAUCCUGGCUCAGGACGAACGCUGGCGGCGUGCCUAAUACAUGCAAGUCGAGCGGACAGAUAAGGAGCUUGCUCCUUUGAAGUCAGCGGCGGACGGGUGAGUAACACGUGGGCAACCUGCCUAUAAGACUGGGAUAACUCCGGGAAACCGGGGCUAAUACCGGAUAGA